GUGCCAGCAGCCGCGGUAAUACGGAGGGGGCUAGCGUUGUUCGGAAUUACUGGGCGUAAAGCGCACGUAGGCGGACGGUCAAGUUGGGGGUGAAAGCCCGAGGCUCAACCUCGGAAUUGCCUUCAAAACUGAUCGUCUCGAGGCCGGGAGAGGGCAGUGGAAUUCCCAGUGUAGAGGUGGAAUUCGUAGAUAUUGGGAAGAACACCGGUGGCGAAGGCGGCUGCCUGGCCCGGACCUGACGCUGAGGUGCGAAAGCGUGGGGAGCGAACAGGAUUAGAUACCCUGGUAGUCCACGCCGUAAACGAUGGGUGCUAGGUGUCGGAGGACUGAGUUCUUCGGUGCCCAGCUAACGCGUUAAGCACCCCGCCUGGGGAGUACGGCCGCAAGGCUAAAACUCAAAUGAAUUGACGGGG
Molecule: ribosomal RNA, 413 nt
Filed under: uncultured prokaryote
Description: bacterial SSU rRNA
Rfam family: Bacterial small subunit ribosomal RNA
Source: RNAcentral